Molecule: small RNA, 118 nt
Filed under: Klebsiella aerogenes
Lineage: Bacteria; Pseudomonadati; Pseudomonadota; Gammaproteobacteria; Enterobacterales; Enterobacteriaceae
Also listed under: 1 other name
Description: partial RtT sRNA
Rfam family: RtT RNA
About the family: This family represents a bacterial cis-regulatory element known as RtT RNA. The exact function of RtT is unknown although it is thought that it may be involved in changing the cellular response in relation to amino acid starvation.
Source: RNAcentral
GGAAGGAUGAGAAGCUUCGACUAAGGUUCGACUCGAGCGCCAGCGAGAGAACGUUGCCGCAGGCAACGGCCCGAAGGGCGAGGCGCUUUAGCGCCGAGUAAUCCUUCCCCCACCACCA